This is a long non-coding RNA of Carassius auratus (goldfish), 185 nucleotides long. RefSeq lists it as uncharacterized. The record is from RefSeq and is a predicted model, not a curated record. The transcript is spliced from 3 exons. Lineage: Eukaryota; Metazoa; Chordata; Actinopteri; Cypriniformes; Cyprinidae.
UCAGCAUCUGCUGCACAAGACCCUGUGGUUCUGGAGAGGACCAUCCAACAGAUCCUCAGAUCCGAACUUCAGUCGGACACCAUCAGAGCUUCACUUGCAACUUCACUUAAGGGUGAGAGAGGAGUGCCUGGGUCUAAAGGUGACCAAGGACCCCCUGGAGUGAAAGGUAUUGUAUUCAUAAUAAU